AUGAGUGUAUUAUGCUGGAACUGUCGCGGGGCGGGCAACGCCGCGACGGUCAAUGAACUUCGCACUCUCGCGAAGAAUUUUGCCCCUUCCCUCCUGUGCAUUGUUGAGACACAAAUAGAUGGAGCGAGGGUCGAAGCUUUAGCUGGUGUCGUGGAAUUGUCACGGCAGAUGUCCUCAAGCUAG
Molecule: ribosomal RNA, 183 nt
Filed under: Triticum aestivum (bread wheat)
Lineage: Eukaryota; Viridiplantae; Streptophyta; Magnoliopsida; Poales; Poaceae
Description: partial small subunit ribosomal RNA
Source: RNAcentral